UACGUAGGGAGCAAGCGUUGUCCGGAAUCAUUGGGCGUAAAGCGCGCGUAGGUGGCCCUGUAAGUCUGCUGUGAAAGUCCAGGGCUCAACCCUGGGAUGCCGGUGGAUACUGUCGAGCUCGAGUCCGGAAGAGGCGAGUGGAAUUCCUGGUGUAGCGGUGAAAUGCGCAGAUAUCAGGAGGAACACCAAUGGCGAAGGCAGCUCGCUGGGACGUGACUGACGCUGAGACGCGAAAGCGUGGGGAGCAAACAGG
RNAcentral lists this ribosomal RNA (253 nucleotides) under uncultured bacterium. RNAcentral describes it as "partial 16S ribosomal RNA". It matches the Rfam family "Bacterial small subunit ribosomal RNA", at positions 524 to 776 of the family's 1533-position model. The record is from RNAcentral.